RNAcentral lists this ribosomal RNA (202 nucleotides) under Klebsiella pneumoniae. RNAcentral's name for it is "partial 23S ribosomal RNA". It matches the Rfam family "Bacterial large subunit ribosomal RNA", at positions 2741 to 2925 of the family's 2925-position model. The record is from RNAcentral. Lineage: Bacteria; Pseudomonadati; Pseudomonadota; Gammaproteobacteria; Enterobacterales; Enterobacteriaceae.
CCCGGUAGCUAAAUGCGGAAGAGAUAAGUGCUGAAAGCAUCUAAGCACGAAACUUGCCCCGAGAUGAGUUCUCCCUGAGACUUUAAGUCUCCUGAAGGAACGUUAAAGACGAUGACGUUGAUAGGCCGGGUGUGUAAGCGCAGCGAUGCGUUGAGCUAACCGGUACUAAUGAACCGUGAGGCUUAACCUUACAACGCCGAAG